AAAUUUUUGAAGUUAUUUUAGCUUUUUUGUUGGGUGAAAUCAGUAUAAAGAGUUUUUCCUUCUUUAAAAAUUAAUAGGAAUUAAAAAACUCUGAUUUAAAACCAGGAUUAGAUACCCUGUUAUUCUGAGUUAUAUUUAGACAGGGUAGUAAAAGUUGUUCUUCAAACCCAAAGAUUUUGGCGGCACUUUAUCCAAAUAGAGGAGCUUGCCCCUUAAUCGAUAGUCCCCGUUUUAUCUUUCCUCUGUUUGUAGAGCUUGUAUACCGCCGUUGUCAGAUUACUUCUAGAGAAUGUUUUCAAAUUAAAAGAUUUUUUUACUUCAGGUCAAGGUGCAGUUUAUAUAGAGGUGGAGGUGAGCUACAAUUUUCUUUACAAAUAUGGAUACUAAGCCUCGAAGCUGGUUGAAGGUGGAUUUAUUAGUAAAGUAA
This 427-nucleotide ribosomal RNA is filed under the name Daphnia longispina. Its description in RNAcentral is "partial 12S ribosomal RNA". The record is from RNAcentral. Lineage: Eukaryota; Metazoa; Arthropoda; Branchiopoda; Diplostraca; Daphniidae.